GAAUGUGCAGUUGGUCUGGCUGAGAUAUCUGUCACCAUAUUGAUCCCCAGAGGUGAUUUGAAUGAUCAGACAGGUGAAGCAGGUUGCCUAUCUCUCUUUUUAUUGCCUUGUGUAUAUAAACUCUCAAAGCUUCCACUGUUGAAAGUGGAUGGCCACCUCUGACAGAGGGGAGGUCAUUGUCUGGUCAGGGGUAGAAGAAUUGAGGUAUAUAGCUAAGGGUUUAUUUCCCUUCUCCAAUCUCUACACAAGCUCUCAAGUUCAAUUGCCUGUGACUGCUAUUUACUCUACAUUCAAUCACUCAUUCUCUCUGUAGCCUGAGGUACUGUUAGA
Bos taurus (domestic cattle) is the source of this 330-nucleotide non-coding RNA. The record is from Rfam. NCBI's taxonomy places the organism in Eukaryota, Metazoa, Chordata, Mammalia, Artiodactyla, Bovidae.